This 270-nucleotide ribosomal RNA is filed under the name uncultured bacterium. Its description in RNAcentral is "partial 16S ribosomal RNA". It matches the Rfam family "Bacterial small subunit ribosomal RNA", at positions 524 to 793 of the family's 1533-position model. The record is from RNAcentral.
UACGAAGGGGGCUAGCGUUGCUCGGAAUCACUGGGCGUAAAGCGCACGUAGGCGGAUCUUUAAGUCAGGGGUGAAAUCCCGGAGCUCAACUCCGGAACUGCCUUUGAUACUGGGGAUCUCGAGUCCGGGAGAGGUGAGUGGAACUGCGAGUGUAGAGGUGAAAUUCGUAGAUAUUCGCAAGAACACCAGUGGCGAAGGCGGCUCACUGGCCCGGUACUGACGCUGAGGUGCGAAAGCGUGGGGAGCAAACAGGAUUAGAAACCCCCGUAG